AUUGAACGCUGGCGGCAGGCCUAACACAUGCAAGUCGAGCGGAUGAAGGGAGCUUGCUCCUGGAUUCAGCGGCGGACGGGUGAGUAAUGCCUAGGAAUCUGCCUGGUAGUGGGGGAUAACGUCCGGAAACGGGCGCUAAUACCGCAUACGUCCUGAGGGAGAAAGUGGGGGAUCUUCGGACCUCACGCUAUCAGAUGAGCCUAGGUCGGAUUAGCUAGUUGGUGGGGUAAAGGCCUACCAAGGCGACGAUCCGUAACUGGUCUGAGAGGAUGAUCAGUCACACUGGAACUGGGACACGGUCCAGACUCCUUCGGGAGGCAAGCAUGGGGAAUAUUGGACAAUGGGCGAAAGCCUGAUCCAGGCAUGCCGCGUGUGUGGAGAAGGUCUUCGGAUUGUAAAGCCCUUUAAGUUGGGAGGAAGGGCAGUAAGUUAAUACCUUGCUGUUUUGACGGUACCAACAGAAUAAGCACCGGCUAACUUCGUG
This 484-nucleotide ribosomal RNA is filed under the name uncultured bacterium. Its description in RNAcentral is "partial 16S ribosomal RNA". It matches the Rfam family "Bacterial small subunit ribosomal RNA", at positions 30 to 507 of the family's 1533-position model. The record is from RNAcentral.